Molecule: ribosomal RNA, 712 nt
Filed under: Isoptericola cucumis
Lineage: Bacteria; Bacillati; Actinomycetota; Actinomycetes; Micrococcales; Promicromonosporaceae
Description: bacterial SSU rRNA
Rfam family: Bacterial small subunit ribosomal RNA
Source: RNAcentral
CUUGGUGAGUUUUGGAUUGUGGCUCAGGACGAACGCUGGCGGCGUGCUUAACACAUGCAAGUCGAACGGUGAAGCCCAGCUUGCUGGGUGGAUCAGUGGCGAACGGGUGAGUAACACGUGAGCAACCUGCCCUCCACUUCGGGAUAAGCCUUGGAAACGGGGUCUAAUACCGGAUAUGAGCAUCCAUCGCAUGGUGGGUGUUGGAAAGUUUUUCGGUGGGGGAUGGGCUCGCGGCCUAUCAGCUUGUUGGUGGGGUGAUGGCCUACCAAGGCGUCGACGGGUAGCCGGCCUGAGAGGGCGACCGGCCACACUGGGACUGAGACACGGCCCAGACUCCUACGGGAGGCAGCAGUGGGGAAUAUUGCACAAUGGGCGCAAGCCUGAUGCAGCGACGCCGCGUGAGGGAUGACGGCCUUCGGGUUGUAAACCUCUUUCAGCAGGGAAGAAGCGCAAGUGACGGUACCUGCAGAAGAAGCGCCGGCUAACUACGUGCCAGCAGCCGCGGUAAUACGUAGGGCGCAAGCGUUGUCCGGAAUUAUUGGGCGUAAAGAGCUCGUAGGCGGUCUGUCGCGUCUGGUGUGAAAUCCCGAGGCUCAACCUCGGGCUUGCAUCGGGUACGGGCAGACUAGAGUGCGGUAGGGGAGACUGGAAUUCCUGGUGUAGCGGUGGAAUGCGCAGAUAUCAGGAGGAACACCGAUGGCGAAGGCUAGGU